AGAGAAUAGAUACCCGGGUAGUCCUGGCCGUAAACGAUGUCCACUAGAUCCUGGCGCCUCUGACGGCGUCGGGGUCGAAAGUAAAAAAAAUGGUAAGUGGACCGCCUGGGAAGUACGGUCGCAAGGCUAAAACUCAAAGAAAUUGACGGGGGCUCACACAAGCGGUGGAGCAUGUGGUUCGAUUCGAAGCAACGCGCAGAACCUUACCUGGGCUUGACAUGCUUGGAUUACCUCCAUGAAAGUGGAGUAGGCCCCGCAAGGGGAACAACAAGUACAGGUGCUGCAUGGCUGUCGUCAGCUCGUGUCGUGAGAUGUCGGGUUAAGUCCCUUAACGAGCGAAACCUUUGCCCUUAGUUACCAUCGGGUCAUGCCGGGGACUCUAAGGGGACUGCCGGUGUCAAACCGGA
RNAcentral lists this ribosomal RNA (407 nucleotides) under uncultured bacterium. Its description in RNAcentral is "bacterial SSU rRNA". It matches the Rfam family "Bacterial small subunit ribosomal RNA", at positions 774 to 1167 of the family's 1533-position model. The record is from RNAcentral.